This 1207-nucleotide ribosomal RNA is filed under the name Escherichia coli. Its description in RNAcentral is "partial 23S ribosomal RNA". It matches the Rfam family "Bacterial large subunit ribosomal RNA", at positions 1 to 1239 of the family's 2925-position model. The record is from RNAcentral. Lineage: Bacteria; Pseudomonadati; Pseudomonadota; Gammaproteobacteria; Enterobacterales; Enterobacteriaceae.
GGGUUGUGAGGUUAAGCGACUAAGCGUACACGGUGGAUGCCCUGGCAGUCAGAGGCGAUGAAGGACGUGCUAAUCUGCGAUAAGCGUCGGUAAGGUGAUAUGAACCGUUAUAACCGGCGAUUUCCGAAUGGGGAAACCCAGUGUGUUUCGACACACUAUCAUUAACUGAAUCCAUAGGUUAAUGAGGCGAACCGGGGGAACUGAAACAUCUAAGUACCCCGAGGAAAAGAAAUCAACCGAGAUUCCCCCAGUAGCGGCGAGCGAACGGGGAGGAGCCCAGAGCCUGAAUCAGUGUGUGUGUUAGUGGAAGCGUCUGGAAAGGCGCGCGAUACAGGGUGACAGCCCCGUACACAAAAAUGCACAUGCUGUGAGCUCGAUGAGUAGGGCGGGACACGUGGUAUCCUGUCUGAAUAUGGGGGGACCAUCCUCCAAGGCUAAAUACUCCUGACUGACCGAUAGUGAACCAGUACCGUGAGGGAAAGGCGAAAAGAACCCCGGCGAGGGGAGUGAAAAAGAACCUGAAACCGUGUACGUACAAGCAGUGGGAGCACGCUCAGGCGUGUGACUGCGUACCUUUUGUAUAAUGGGUCAGCGACUUAUAUUCUGUAGCAAGGUUAACCGAAUAGGGGAGCCGAAGGGAAACCGAGUCUUAACUGGGCGUUAAGUUGCAGGGUAUAGACCCGAAACCCGGUGAUCUAGCCAUGGGCAGGUUGAAGGUUGGGUAACACUAACUGGAGGACCGAACCGACUAAUGUUGAAAAAUUAGCGGAUGACUUGUGGCUGGGGGUGAAAGGCCAAUCAAACCGGGAGAUAGCUGGUUCUCCCCGAAAGCUAUUUAGGUAGCGCCUCGUGAAUUCAUCUCCGGGGGUAGAGCACUGUUUCGGCAAGGGGGUCAUCCCGACUUACCAACCCGAUGCAAACUGCGAAUACCGGAGAAUGUUAUCACGGGAGACACACGGCGGGUGCUAACGUCCGUCGUGAAGAGGGAAACAACCCAGACCGCCAGCUAAGGUCCCAAAGUCAUGGUUAAGUGGGAAACGAUGUGGGAAGGCCCAGACAGCCAGGAUGUUGGCUUAGAAGCAGCCAUCAUUUAAAGAAAGCGUAAUAGCUCACUGGUCGAGUCGGCCUGCGCGGAAGAUGUAACGGGGCUAAACCAUGCACCGAAGCUGCGGCAGCGACGCUUAUGCGUUGUUGGGUAGGGGAGCGU